Podarcis raffonei (Aeolian wall lizard) is the source of this 1159-nucleotide long non-coding RNA. RefSeq lists it as uncharacterized. Lineage: Eukaryota; Metazoa; Chordata; Lepidosauria; Squamata; Lacertidae. The record is from RefSeq and is a predicted model, not a curated record. The transcript is spliced from 3 exons.
CGGUGGGGGGCAGCUGCAUCCACACCGCCUUCUUCACCUGCUGUUUCCCGGCGGCCUGAUCUAACCGUGGGAUCCAGCCGAGGGUGGCAAGCGGCUUUGCUGGGAAGCGAUGAUCUGCAGGGGCGUCUCCUGCUCCCGAGUUGCGAGCGAGCUUUCUCUGCGGGCUUCAGCCUUGUGCUCAGCUUGCCUGCCCGCCUGCCUGCUUGGAAGUCAGCGCCUUUCAGCCUGGGGCACAUCGACAUCAAGGCUUCAGCUCCCACUUACUCAGGCGGGGUGGGGGAUAACAAAGGAGGGGCCGAUUGUGACAUAAGGCACCAUAAUGAUGCUACAGGGACGUUUUCCCCCUGCACGUGGAGACAGGCUCCCAGCACAAUGACAGCGCUGCCUAGCGGUGCUUUGAAAUUACAGUAAAACAUCAAGAUUCAGUAUUGUCUCCCGAAGCAGACGGAUUCCAACACCAACUUUUGGAAGAAUAUUUAGCAGCUUUGCAGAGAGACUGGGUCUAAAAAGGUCACCUUCCUUCCUGUGGAGCAGCUUUUGGAGGCCAAGUGCUUCCUGGCCAGUGACCUUGCUGUUGAGAGCACCUUCUAGCCCUUGGACAUCUCCCACUUGCUGCAAGAGUUCAGCAGCAAAGCAGUGGAGGUGGAGGUGCUGCUGGAGGCCUCCCAUAAGAUCACUCCGGGGUCUACAAUGGAGAGCAGAAAAGUGGCCAUCUUAGCUUAUCAUCACCUGGAGAAAGUGGUUGAAUACCUCCUCCAAUUUCUUUUCGUGUAUGGGGCACUCAAGCUUCUACCGGCCUAAGGGAGAUGUUGGGAAUCUGCAGGGCUUGCUCAGAAAGUAGCUCUCUCCCCGAGGGGGGAGGCCAGGCAGCUGGAGAACCCGGUCCCCACAGUGUCAGCAGCCAGACUCCAAAUCUCUUCCUCCAUCUGGAUUCCCAGCUGAUUUGCUGCCUCAUGGCAACAGACAGAAGAUUUGGAGGGCUCCUACCGUGGUACCAUAGCCAGGUUAGGUCCUUUAACAGGAAGAGCAACAGAGCAGAAGCCAAGAAGGCAGGGACAGGCCUCUGUCCUCUAGGGGAGGCAGCAAGGGGUGAGAUUGGUGCAGGUUUCCCCUCUCUUUUUGCCAUCUGCAGAGAUGCAGCAGCACAGAGGGGCUGAUC